Molecule: long non-coding RNA, 1600 nt
Organism: Haplochromis burtoni (Burton's mouthbrooder)
Lineage: Eukaryota; Metazoa; Chordata; Actinopteri; Cichliformes; Cichlidae
Exons: 3
Source: RefSeq, a predicted model, not a curated record
CUUCAAGCAACUUAAAGAAGUCCAGACGCUUUUCUUUCCAAGCUCCUUUGACUACGAUGACCUGGAUGACUGAGAACCUUCACAGACAAAUCGAUUGAGAUAAAUAUUUUGAAACUUCAGUAAAAUGAGAAGCUGAUGAGAUGGAUGAUCAAGAUAUUGCAUCGGCAGAGGAAAACAACGACAGCACAGGAGGAGAGUCUGAAAACAUGUCUGAAACACCUCCCAUCAAUGAGAGAAUGGCUCCUGAUCUCACACUUGUACUAAUUGGUGACCCAGAUUCCACUGAGAUCGGACCAAAGAACAUUUUUCUUGACCAUGACGACCAAACAAAUGUGGAACCAUUUUCCUCCAAUCUGUAUAAUCUGUGUGGUCAACAUGUCCGCGUCAUUAACAUGCUCGGUCUACAAACAAAGAAAAUCCCUUUAAAUCAGGGAGUUCAUGCCUUUGUCUUACUAUUACCCAACACUCUGCAUAGCAGCCAGUACAGCUCAGGAGUGCAGUGGUUAGAGAGAACCUUUGGGAUUGGAGCACUUUCUUAUUUAAUCACAGUGGUAACUCACGAAACAGGUGAAACAUGUGAAAGUGCAUUAAAAGAGCUGAAAACUAACACGGAGUUUAAUGAAAAAAGGUUCCACACAUGUAACAGAAAUAUGAUGGAUGAAAAACAGGUAGCAAAUUUGUUAGAAAAAAUAAAUGUCAUGGUCUCUGAAAAUGAUCCACAAAGCUACACUGGACUGAUGUGUGCUGAAGAUAAAGACCAAGAAGGACACCUGGAGGACAAAUCCCACAAAGAAGAAAGGAAAAACUCAACAAACGAAAGAGGUACCUGCCUGUCUGUGUUUUAGGCAAACAAACUCUUGCACUCAGCAGUGGGCUAACCUGUGAAUCUUAAUUUGAUUAGAUACAAUGAAUUCGGUGACAUUUAUCUUUAGAAUUGUCCUUGUAACCAAAAUUUUAUUCAUUUGAUAGAUUUGUGCAAAAGUUGUGAGGGUUUCUGUCCAGAAAAUAUUAAACGCAGAGGUGUAGUGGUGUUUGUUUAAAUAGUGGUUACCCAUCUGCCUAUGUCUACACACAAAUUAGAGUUAUUUGUUUCUGAGGCUGUUUCACCCCAGUGACAAAUUCACAUUGUUGUAGUUAUGAAUUAACUGAGCAUAAAGUCGUCUAUCAGACCAUCUUCAUACAUACCACUUCUUUUCAUUCUUUCAUUUGAGAUACCUGCCUCCUCUCUACGUACAGAUGCGUUUGGAAGAACAUAAUGAUUCUUCGUCAGGCUUCUCUCAUGUGUCUUAACUGCCACAUUGAUGUCUGGGAGCUAGAUGGGCUUAAAUUGUAAUAUUACCACUCAUUUUGGUAUGAUCAUGGAGACACAAAAUACAUUAGCUUAUUCGUGUUUUGAUCAGUAUUAUUGCUGCUCCCCUUUUUUUCCAAGCGAGGAUAGCAAAUAUUCAGUUUGUUUCAGCUGAAAUUGGGUUGUUAGUUUAAGAGUAGGUUAUUUCAUGCAAGAAGGUUAAUAAAGACAAAAUAAGUAAAAGUAAGUAAGUAAAAUUUAUUUAUAUAGCACAUUUCACAGAUAAAAAUCACAAAGUGCUUUACAGUAAGA